This 26-nucleotide non-coding RNA is filed under the name Mus musculus (house mouse). Lineage: Eukaryota; Metazoa; Chordata; Mammalia; Rodentia; Muridae. The record is from RNAcentral.
UGAACAAAAGGUGUUAGUUUGCUGUA